UUGGGAGAAAGGGGUAGCAAUAUCCCGAGUACACCGGCGCAAGGGUGAGUAGCACGUAGGCAACCUGCCUUCAGGACGGGGAUAACUUCGAGAAAUCGAGGCUAAUACCCGAUGAUGCAGCGGCAUCGCAUGAUGACAGUUGUUAAAAGCUCCCAAAGAGCGCCUGAAGAUGGGCCUGCGUCCCAUUAGAUAGUUGGCGGGGUAAUGGCCCACCAAGUCGACGAUGGGUAGCUGGUCUGAGAGGACGACCAGCCACACUGGAACUGAGACACGGUCCAGACUCCUACGGGAGGCAGCAGUGAGGAAUAUUGCGCAAUGCCCGCAAGGGUGACGCAGCGACGCCGCGUGGAGGAUGAAGGCCCUAUGGGUCGUAAACUCCUUUUGUGGGGGAAGAAUAGUUCGCUAUAGGCGAAUAUGACGGUACCCCAUGAAUAAGCACCGGCUAACUACGUG
This 453-nucleotide ribosomal RNA is filed under the name uncultured bacterium. Its description in RNAcentral is "bacterial SSU rRNA". It matches the Rfam family "Bacterial small subunit ribosomal RNA", at positions 64 to 507 of the family's 1533-position model. The record is from RNAcentral.